This is a long non-coding RNA of Cyprinus carpio (common carp), 781 nucleotides long. RefSeq lists it as uncharacterized. Lineage: Eukaryota; Metazoa; Chordata; Actinopteri; Cypriniformes; Cyprinidae. The record is from RefSeq and is a predicted model, not a curated record.
GAGUGGGAGAGGAGUAUGCUUUUCGAUGGACGAAAGAGCAGACAGAAAUGUUUAUAAAGCUCCGGGGAGAGAACGAUGAGCUCUUCACCAGAGCAGAGAACUCUGCCACUGUGGGAUGGAGGAUAGUUUUGGAGAAGAUGGGCCUGUCUGGUAAAGUGACACCAGCCCAAGCAAAGAAAAAGUGGGACAAUUUAAAAAAGAAAUAUAAAGUAUGUCCAUAUAUAGAAAAUAAUAUUUUUGUUAGUAACAGUUAAAAAAAAUCCUAGGUUUAAGCUUACAUGUUUUGUGAACAGUUUAGAUUUUGACUUGUCUUUAGGAAUACAAGUAUCCAGGGUCAGUAGAGGGAGUGAGUGGGAAGCCCACUGCUGCUACUUUGCCCUGGUUUGUCCAAAUGGAUGAGGUUUUAGGACAAAGGCCUUCAAUUUGCCCCCCUGUCCUUAUUGCCUCCAUCCCUAUGGACACUCCAGGGCCAAGUGCAGCAGUGAGUGACCAAGAGGAGAGAGAGGAAGAAGAGAGGGAAGGAGAUAGGCACCCAGCAGUGAAGAAGAGGAGAAGGGACAGUGACCAGGAGCUGUUAGACCUCAUCAGGGAGGACAUGAGGCAGCAGAGAGAGGCUGAAGAGAGGAGGGCACAGGAGAGCAGGGAGAGGAUGGACAGGCUCUUCUCCAUUCUGGAGCGUUGGGUCCCCAAAUAAAUUUUUUUUUUUUUUUUUUGGGGUGGGAGGGAUUAAAUUGUUUCCAUUGUUAGCUUCAGUUGUUUGAAAUAAAUUGUUUGAAAGAAA